This 468-nucleotide ribosomal RNA is filed under the name uncultured bacterium. Its description in RNAcentral is "partial 16S ribosomal RNA". It matches the Rfam family "Bacterial small subunit ribosomal RNA", at positions 28 to 507 of the family's 1533-position model. The record is from RNAcentral.
GACGAACGCUGGCGGCGUGCUUAACACAUGCAAGUCGAACGGAAAGGCCCUGCUUUUGCGGGGUGCUCGAGUGGCGAAAGGGUGUGUAAAACGUGUGUAACCUGCCCUUGACUUUGGGAUAUAUUCAGGAAAAUGGGGCUAAUACCGGAUAGGCGCUCCUGCUGCAUGGUGGGGGCUGGAAAGUUUCGGCGGUUGGGGAUGGACUCGCGGCUUAUCAGCUUGUUGGUGGGGUAGUGGCUUACCAAGGCUUUGACGGGUAGCCGGCCUGAGAGGGUGACCGGCCACAUUGGGACUGAGAUACGGCCCAGACUCCUACGGGAGGCAGCAGUGGGGAAUAUUGCACAAUGGGCGGAAGCCUGAUGCAGCAACGCCGCGUGCGGGAUGACGGCCUUCGGGUUGUAAACCGCUUUCGCCUGUGACGAAGCGUGAGUGACGGUAAUGGGUAAAGAAGCACCGGCUAACUACGUG